This 476-nucleotide ribosomal RNA is filed under the name uncultured bacterium. Its description in RNAcentral is "SSU rRNA". It matches the Rfam family "Bacterial small subunit ribosomal RNA", at positions 26 to 521 of the family's 1533-position model. The record is from RNAcentral.
AGGAUGAACGCUGGCGGUAUGCUUAACACAUGCAAGUCGUACGGGUGGAACUUGUUCCAUCUAGUGGCGGACGGGUGCGUAACACGUAAGAACCUACCUUUUGGAGGGGGAUAACAUUGGGAAACUGAUGCUAAUACCUCGUAAUACUGAGGAGUUAAAAGCGGGUAUCCUGCAAGGGAGCUACGCGCCAAGAGAGGGGCUUGCGGCUGAUUAGCUAGUUGGUGGGGGUAAUGGCCUCCCAAGGCCACGAUCAGUAGCUGGUCUGAGAGGACGACCAGCCACACUGGGACUGAGACACGGCCCAGACUCUUACGGGAGGCAGCAGUGAGGAAUUUUCCACAAUGGGCGAAAGCCUGAUGGAGCAAUCCCGCGUGGAGGAAGAAGGUCUGUGGAUCGUAAUCUCCUUUUCUCAGAGAAGAACAAAUGACGGUAUCUGAGGAAUAAGCUCCGGCUAACUAUGCACCAGCAGCCGCGGU